AGUGGGAAUCGGGGGAAGUGAGGUGCCCAGGAAGCCACCAUCCAUGCCAGACGUCAGACAGAAUGUGGCAGGUCCCACAGGGCAGGCGUUUGCCUUCUCUUUCUGUGGCUCAAGAACGCAGAACCGCAGCUGUCUCGGGAGGCUGCGCCGUGGUUUGGGACGGGGCUGCGUCACCUCAGAGCUCGGUGGGAGGCUCCCCUGGGGCAGGCGGCCCUAGGGAGAGCCCGGAGACAGGCUGCCCCUUCUCAGAACCAGUCUUGAAAGUGCUGCCCUCUGAACUUUGUUGCAUCGUGUCUGCUUGGAGAAAUGUUGGCCCACAUUGUCCUUAUCUGGUCUUUUCAAGCAUUAAACUUAAUUUCAUAAGAACCAUCCAUCCAUGUUUGUGGUCAUUCCAUCCGGUCCU
Molecule: long non-coding RNA, 403 nt
Organism: Suricata suricatta (meerkat)
Lineage: Eukaryota; Metazoa; Chordata; Mammalia; Carnivora; Herpestidae
Exons: 3
Source: RefSeq, a predicted model, not a curated record